GCGUUUAAUAUAAUUUAAUCAAUUCGUUUACUCCAGUAAAUUCCUUGUUUUGAAUUUAAUUCAUGUAUAACGGUACAUUUUACAUGAGAUAUAUUGUGAUAUAAUUAACUACAGUUUUCAAAUAAGUAUAAUCAUAUUUAAUGCAAAAUACGUCGAGAAUAAUAUAGUUUAAUUAAGAAGAUUAUACGUUUCGUUUAAGAAUAUCGACAUGUAAAAGUAAAUAUGCUUAUACUUAAAGUUUAAGUAUAUUUUUGGUAUAAAGAUAUGUCAUAAAUAAUUCUUUAUACUUAAUGUAAACUUAUGUUGAAACAUAUUUGAAAAAUAAUAUUGAGGCACCCUAUUUAUUUUAAUUUAUUCAUUUCUCAUUUUUAAUUAUUUAACCCUUAUGUAGAUUUUUCAAAAUUGUGGAAUAUAACUUUGUUUUUUCCCUAUCGACUACUACUGUAGUACAAUUACAUCGGGAUCGAAGUCGGGCUCGAAAAGCAAUUAAUUUAAAAACAACACACCGCGCCGAAAUUCAAUUUUUUGGAAUGUUCCUAGCAGCCAUGUUGAACUUCAUCAUGAUGUUGUAUGGGACAAAGGGGCGAAAGAGAGUUACACGAAAAGAAGAAACAUGAUAAACUUUGGAUGGAAUUUCUGUUUUAACAGAAGGUGAAGACAAUUACGACCCUGUAUAGCGGUAGGAACAAGUUACAAUGUACGAAAUUUUAUCAUGUGUCCUUGAAUGAAUAAUUGCUUCUGCUACUGAUAAUAUUACUGUUCUGGGCACUACACAUAAAAUGCCUGGCAGUAAAAACGUUUGGACAAGCGCUAUUUAAAUUUUGUAAUUAUUAUUUAACACUUUUAAACAUCUCUCAUAAUUAAUAAAGAUGGAUUUUAACCAGAAUUUCCUCGUUUGGGAUUGGUUCCAGAAUUUUAGUGUUCCUCUAUUCAGCAUUUACAGAGUAUGUUGUACAAUGUAAUAAAAUAUAUAUUUAUUUCUUAAUGCAUACUCAAAAUCAUAUUCAGCACUAGCGGAUUGUGCGACUGCCUGAGACGAUUCCCCACAGCGCCGGCUAUGUGGACAGCUUGUGAAAUAGCGGAUUGUGCGACUGCCUGAGGUGAUUCCCCACAGCGCCGGCUAUGUGGACAGCUUGUGAAAAUGGAAUCUAAAUGAUCACAAGAAAUGACAAAAGCAGUAUGAAGAUUAACACAAAGAUAUUGAGCCAGAAAAGUUUGAAGUGCUAUGGGAAUGAUCAACAUUGAACUUGCUGAGCCUUCCUUCUGAAAGUGACUUAACCAGAUAUUUGGCUACCCAGUAUGAGCAUCUUUCUGCUAAAUUGAAUAAAAUGUCGUGGAGGAACACGAAGAAAAGGGAUGCGCAUCUCAACAUAUUCAAGGUCAAGCAGCUUUUUACCUUAUUCAUUGUAUCUUGCUGCUGAAUGAAAGAAUUUUUGUGGAGAAACAGACAAAAGUGCACUUCAACAUGUUCAAGGUCAAGCAGAAAUUAGGAGCUAGAUGUGCUUCUCCAGAGCUGAAAACUUCUUGGCAAGAAGAGAAGAAAAAGCAGGAAGAAGCAGAUUUAAAUAUUGAUUGCGUCUUCAUAGUACAAAAAAUGAUUCUUGUGAUGAUACUAUCUAUGAAAUUAGAAAACUGACGUGGCGUUCUAAUGAUUGUGAGAAAGUCUUCAAUGAACAGGACACCAAAAGUGCCACUCUCAAAUCAAAGCACUCUAAAAGGCAGAGCAUAAGAAGAACUAGGACAAAUAAAGAAUCUAAAAGAGUCAAACCUAUGGAUGUAGUAAUUGAACAGAGAUGGGCUAUUAGAGAUGAAAAAUAUCUGAGUUGCUACUGUUUUGCACAAAUUUGAUGCUUUUUUUAAACUUAUUUUUAAUUGACACAUUCAAUGUUAGAUAAGAAAAAUAUACCUAGUGUUGCAAUUUUUUGACAGUGAAAGUUUUCAAUGAUGCUUGAUUAUAGAUUAAAACUGUUAUGGUUUUUUUUUAUUGUUUAAACAUUUAUUGAUUUAUUGUGUAGUAUGCAAUCACAUACACUUUUAUCUUGAUUUAUAUAUUACAUAUAUGUACAAGUCUGACUUGAAUAUAAGUGCAUGGACAUUAUUGUGGAAAAAAAAGAAGACAAUCAAGGGUAGUCUGAAAAAGUUUUGCUGGCAGUAAGUUGCAGAUCUUGAUACCCAAGUAAGAGAAAGGUGGUGUCUCUGACCGAUCCUUUUGCUGUUGCUUGUGGGCGAGUGAGGCUUCUCUGUCAGUGGCUUAGUGAGUCAUAGAUGUAAAAAAUAGAAUAGGCAAAUGAGGUAGAGACAUUUCUGAGUAAAAAAGGGGUGAAUUGUGAUUUUAAUAAAUAUUUCAAUUAUUAUUGCAAGAGUAAUGAGAAUUGCAAGAGUAAAAUAUUGAUUUGUUUCCUUCCAUUUGAAGUAAGAGAGCUUAUGACGAGAAUCUUUUCCAUUAAAAUGGAAUUGUAAUUAAGGCUUAAAAAAAUUUGUUAAGAUACUUGUACAUAUGUUUAUACAGGACUUUAAUAUGUGCAUGUUUCAGAGCUCAUCCUUGAUAUUUUAAGGCAAAGUUAAAAAUAUCACUAUUAAAAUGUCUGGCAUUCCAAUGUAAAGUUGAUUUAAUGAGGAUAUGUUAAUUAAGUUACAAUCAUCAAGCAAUAUACCUAGCAGUUGGAACAGAAAUGGGCUACAUGUAUUGGAAACAAAUUUAAGCUGCUUUGUGUAGUUGUGAUACUUUUUCCUUAAUUUGAAUUGACAUAACCAAAUGAUAUAAAAGAUUUUUUUUGGUUAUUGUAUUUUUCACAGUGAAUAAUUAGUGCAUGGACAUCUAUUGUGGAAAUACUUGGGGAACAAUAAAAGGGUGGUCUGAAAGAGCUUUGCUGGCAGUAAGUUGCAGAUCUUGAUACCCAAGUAAGAGAAAGGUGGUGUCUCUGACCGAUCCUUUUGCUGUUGCGUGUGGGCGAGUGAGGCUUCUCUGUCAGUGGCUUAGUGUGUCUUAUUAAAUGUACAUGUAAAAAGAAUGGACAACUUUUAUUGGCAACUUUUAUUCUUUUUAUGCAAAGUAUGAUAUAAUAUUUUUGUGGGAAAUUGAAAAGCCAUUUACAACCCAUGCAGCAGUUUUAAUAGGGUCAGUUUCAGUCACAGAUUUUGCAGUCUUUUGGAGUCCAGAAUGACUUCAUUUUUGACCUGUUGUGUUCUGAUUUAAUGCAGAUUUGAAUUUUACACACAAUUCUAUUCUUAAAUUAAAUUAUUUAUAAUUACUUCAGUUUAUUACUUACUACUAGUAUGUAAAAAUUUACUCCAUUAUAAUUGAGCUACAAUCAUGAUUGUAAUUUUUUUAAAUUUUGACAUUUAGGCAUAAAUUUGAAAUAUCUUGUACUUUUUAGAACUCAUUAUUUGUACACCAUUGAGAUAAC
This is a long non-coding RNA of Saccostrea cuccullata (small rock oyster), 3407 nucleotides long. RefSeq lists it as uncharacterized. The transcript is spliced from 6 exons. Lineage: Eukaryota; Metazoa; Mollusca; Bivalvia; Ostreida; Ostreidae. The record is from RefSeq and is a predicted model, not a curated record.